This 215-nucleotide unclassified non-coding RNA is filed under the name Hevea brasiliensis (rubber tree). The record is from RNAcentral. Lineage: Eukaryota; Viridiplantae; Streptophyta; Magnoliopsida; Malpighiales; Euphorbiaceae.
CCAAGAUAUUAUAGACAUUCUCCGGUAAACGAAUCGUCCUAGAAUUCUGAAAUAUGGCCUUCCUAACAGUCUGCCUUAUCCACCAAUAUGCAUAAGUGGCAAAUCGGCAGCUGUGGUUUGAAUUUCUCAAUGCUUUUCAUAAGACCCAUGCUUCCUUCCUGCAUUAAGUCCUGAAGGCUGAGACCACGGCCCUGAUACUGUUUAGCAAUAUGAAC